UACGAGGGGGGCGAGCGUUGUUCGGAAUUAUUGGGCGUAAAGGGUGCGUAGGCGGUUUGGUAAGUCUGAUGUGAAAUCUAUGGGCUCAACUCAUAGUCUGCAUCGGAAACUGCCGGGCUUGAGUGUGGGAGAGGUGAGUGGAAUUCCUGGUGUAGCGGUGAAAUGCGUAGAUAUCUGGAGGAACACCGGUGGCGAAGGCGGCAUCCUGGACCGAUAUUGACGCUGAGGAGCGAAAGCCAGGGGAGCAAACGGG
This 253-nucleotide ribosomal RNA is filed under the name uncultured bacterium. Its description in RNAcentral is "partial 16S ribosomal RNA". It matches the Rfam family "Bacterial small subunit ribosomal RNA", at positions 524 to 776 of the family's 1533-position model. The record is from RNAcentral.